AUUGAACGCUGGCGGCAGGCCUAACACAUGCAAGUCGAGCGGAUCGGCGGACGGGUGAGUAAUGUCUGGGAAACUGCCUGAUGGAGGGGGAUAACUACUGGAACCGGUAGCUAAUACCGCAUACUCUCAGAUGAGCCUAGGGCGGAUUAGCUAGUUGGUGGGGUAACGUCCUACCAAGGCGACGCUCCGUAACUGGUCUGAGAGGAUGAUCAGUCACACUGUAACUGAGACACGGUCCAGACUCUUACGGGAGGCAGCAGUGGGGAAUAUUGGACAAGGGGCGAAAGCCUGAUCCAGCCAGGCCGCGUGUGUGAAGGAGGUCUUCGGAUUGUAAAGCACUUUAAGUUGGGAGGCGUUACCAACAGAAUAAGCACCGGCUAACUUCGUGCCAGCAGCCGCGGUAAUAC
This 407-nucleotide ribosomal RNA is filed under the name uncultured bacterium. RNAcentral describes it as "partial 16S ribosomal RNA". It matches the Rfam family "Bacterial small subunit ribosomal RNA", at positions 30 to 526 of the family's 1533-position model. The record is from RNAcentral.